GAUGAACGCUGGCGGCGUGCCUAAUACAUGCAAGUAGAACGCUGAAGGAAGGAGCUUGCUCUUUCCGGAUGAGUUGCGAACGGGUGAGUAACGCGUAGGUAACCUGCCUGGUAGCGGGGGAUAACUAUUGGAAACGAUAGCUAAUACCGCAUAACAGUAGAUGUUGCAUGAUAUCUACUUAAAAGGUGCAAUUGCACCACUACCAGAUGGACCUGCGUUGUAUUAGCUAGUUGGUGAGGUAACGGCUCACCAAGGCGACGAUACAUAGCCGACCUGAGAGGGUGAUCGGCCACACUGGGACUGAGACACGGCCCAGACUCCUACGGGAGGCAGCAGUAGGGAAUCUUCGGCAAUGGACGGAAGUCUGACCGAGCAACGCCGCGUGAGUGGAGAAGGUUUUCGGAUCGUAAAGCUCUGUUGUAAGAGAAGAACGAGUGUGAGAGUGGAAAGUUCACACUGUGACGGUAUCUUACCAGAAAGGGACGGCUAACUACGUG
Molecule: ribosomal RNA, 497 nt
Filed under: uncultured bacterium
Lineage: Bacteria
Description: partial 16S ribosomal RNA
Rfam family: Bacterial small subunit ribosomal RNA
Source: RNAcentral